GUGCUCGCUUUGGCAGCACAUAUACUAAAACUGGAAUGAUACAGAGAAGAUUAGCAUGGCCCCUGAGCAAGGAUGACACACAAAUUCAUGAAGCGUUCCAUAUUUUU
This 107-nucleotide small nuclear RNA is filed under the name Dasypus novemcinctus (nine-banded armadillo). Lineage: Eukaryota; Metazoa; Chordata; Mammalia; Cingulata; Dasypodidae. The record is from RNAcentral.